RNAcentral lists this ribosomal RNA (250 nucleotides) under uncultured bacterium. RNAcentral's name for it is "partial 16S ribosomal RNA". It matches the Rfam family "Bacterial small subunit ribosomal RNA", at positions 28 to 277 of the family's 1533-position model. The record is from RNAcentral.
GAUGAACGCUAGCGGCAGGCCUAAUACAUGCAAGCCGAACGGCAAGACUUGUAGCAAUACGAGUCCUAGAGUGGCGUAAGGGUGCGUAACACGUAUGCAAUCUGCCCGCAACCGGAGUAUAGCUCCCCGAAAGGGGAAUUAACGCUCCAUAGGAACACACGAGGGCAUCUGAGAGUGUUUAAACGUAAGGGUUGUGGAUGAGCAUGCGCAUGAUUAGCUAGUUGGUAGGGUAACGGCCUACCAAGGCGAU